CUCAACGGAUAAAAGCUACCCUGGGGAUAACAGGCUUAUCUCCCCCAAGAGUCCACAUCGACGGGGAGGUUUGGCACCUCGAUGUCGGCUCAUCACAUCCUGGGGCUGUAGUAGGUCCCAAGGGUUGGGCUGUUCGCCCAUUAAAGUGGUACGCGAGCUGGGUUCAGAACGUCGUGAGACAGUUCGGUCCCUAUCCGUCGCAGGCGUAGGAAAUUUGAGAAGACCUGUCCUUAGUACGAGAGGACCGGGAUGGACGUACCUCUGGUGUACCAGUUGUCCUGCCAAGGGCAUGGCUGGGUAGCUAUGUACGGAAUGGAUAAGCGCUGAAAGCAUCUAAGCGCGAAGCCAACUUCAAGAUAAGAUUUCCCACCGCAAGGGUAAGACCCCAGAAAGACUAUCUGGUUGAUAGGUCGAAGGUGUAAGUGCAGCAAUGUAUUUAGCUUAUCGAUACUAAUAGGUCGAGGACUUGACCAAU
Molecule: ribosomal RNA, 475 nt
Filed under: Clostridioides difficile
Lineage: Bacteria; Bacillati; Bacillota; Clostridia; Peptostreptococcales; Peptostreptococcaceae
Description: partial 23S ribosomal RNA
Rfam family: Bacterial large subunit ribosomal RNA
Source: RNAcentral